RNAcentral lists this ribosomal RNA (253 nucleotides) under uncultured bacterium. RNAcentral's name for it is "partial 16S ribosomal RNA". It matches the Rfam family "Bacterial small subunit ribosomal RNA", at positions 524 to 776 of the family's 1533-position model. The record is from RNAcentral.
UACGGAGGGAGCUAGCGUUGUUCGGAAUUACUGGGCGUAAAGCGCGCGUAGGCGGCUUUGCAAGUUAGAGGUGAAAGCCCGGAGCUCAACUUCGGAAUUGCCUUUAAAACUGCAUCGCUUGAAUCCGGGAGAGGUGAGUGGAAUUCCGAGUGUAGAGGUGAAAUUCGUAGAUAUUCGGAAGAACACCAGUGGCGAAGGCGGCUCACUGGACCGGCAUUGACGCUGAGGUGCGGAAGCGUGGGGAGCAAACAGG